GACAGAGGUGCCGAGCGUUAGGCGGAAUCACUGGGCUUAAAGCGUGUGUAGGCGGAUCGUUAAGUGCCUUGUGAAAUCCCACGGCUCAACCGUGGAACUGCUUGGCAUACUGGCGAUCUUGAGCCACGUAGGGGCUACCGGAACAAAUGGUGGAGCGGUGAAAUGCGUAGAUAUCAUUUGGAACGCCAAUGGUGAAAACAGGUAGCUGGGAGUGUGCUGACGCUGAGACACGAAAGCCAGGGGAGCAAACGGG
RNAcentral lists this ribosomal RNA (253 nucleotides) under uncultured bacterium. Its description in RNAcentral is "partial 16S ribosomal RNA". It matches the Rfam family "Bacterial small subunit ribosomal RNA", at positions 524 to 776 of the family's 1533-position model. The record is from RNAcentral.